UGGACAUGAAAAAAGAGCUGAUAAACCUUACUCGGUCAAAAAAGGAGAUUUGUGUUUAAUCUAGUGGAACCAUUAUGUUGUUGUGUUUGAAGGAUCGGACUCGCACUUCUGUGGAACUGUUCCAUUGAUACAUACAUAUUGAACAAAGGAACGUGCUGUGUGAAGAGAGAGACUCUUGCCAAAACUUCAACAUCAAACAACGGACACUGGGACAAUAUAUUUGAACACCAAAACGUUGGGGAUGAUGAGGGAUGGAAUAUGGAAAAUGUAUGUCUAUUUUGUGAUGUCAUUAAAAUGAUCAGAAAGACUGUAUAACAAGAUAACUGUAACUCUGAAAGUGUAGACGUCCUAGUUAUCAGGUUUGCAUCUAAAUGUUGUAUAAAACAAAUUAUUAAGUAAAAGUAUACUUUUGAAAAGAUAGAAAUGUGAGUUUCGCCUUCUAAAUGAGAUAAUGGCUUUUCAUAUAAACCUGGGCCCAGUCAGUAAACACACCAUGUGAUGUGAGCACAGACAUUGUGUCAACAGGACCGACGGCUCUCCAAGGCCAGAGUGCUUAAAAGGACUCGCAGAGAAUUUAAAUUCAGACCAGAGAACGUGAGGACAUGGUCCACACGUUGAAAUGGUUUAAACUACGAGACCAAAAAAUGGUAAGACCCUCUGAAACUCUCGACGAGUGAAGAAGGUGAAGACUAGACCAAACAUUCACAGUCUACAGCUGGGUAUGUGAGGUAGUCUAGGACAAUUGACCAAAGACGGGAGGGAAGGACAGAUCCCUCUCACACUUGGAGGUAUCCAUUCUAAGAACACUCCAAGACAAAGAAGCCUACAACUAAGAAGGACAUUGUGACCUCCGGUAGACAACCAGUCUUACAUCGAACUACUCCCCAUAGACGGACCAAGUGGUUUCAACAAAGAGACGACAAAGACAUCUACGUGUAAAUAUAUGUUGCAUUUCUAAUCCAAAUGAGCGGUUGUUAGGGUGCUAAAUAUUCUGGAUAUGGUGAGCGUAGUUUCUAAAUGUAUGUACGAUAAGUUGACUCUCUCUGUCUUUAUCUUUCCCCACCCCCUUUCCAUUGUGUAACCAAAUGGUCAUGUUUUUAUUAGUCCACUAGGAACUGUUUUCAUUGCAUUAUGUUAGUAAUCAAUAACCUAUACCGUGUGUGUGUUUAUGUAUUUCUGUGAUUAUUUAGUUAGUGAAUAAAUAAUUAACCUCUCUGGGA
Oncorhynchus tshawytscha (Chinook salmon) is the source of this 1220-nucleotide long non-coding RNA. RefSeq lists it as uncharacterized. The record is from RefSeq and is a predicted model, not a curated record. NCBI's taxonomy places the organism in Eukaryota, Metazoa, Chordata, Actinopteri, Salmoniformes, Salmonidae. The transcript has 2 exons.